This 22-nucleotide microRNA is filed under the name Tribolium castaneum (red flour beetle). RNAcentral's name for it is "Tca-Mir-92-P3_3p (mature (guide))". The record is from RNAcentral. Lineage: Eukaryota; Metazoa; Arthropoda; Insecta; Coleoptera; Tenebrionidae.
UAUUGCACUAGUCCCGGCCUAU